GCCUCGUUAGCGCAGUAGGUAGCGCGUCAGCCUCAUAAUCUGAAGGGCGUGAGUUUGAUCUUCACACGGGGCA
Transfer RNA from Lepisosteus oculatus (spotted gar), 73 nucleotides. It matches the Rfam family "tRNA". From Rfam's summary of the family: Transfer RNA (tRNA) molecules are approximately 80 nucleotides in length. Their secondary structure includes four short double-helical elements and three loops (D, anti-codon, and T loops). The record is from Rfam. Lineage: Eukaryota; Metazoa; Chordata; Actinopteri; Semionotiformes; Lepisosteidae.